This 1734-nucleotide small RNA is filed under the name Saccoglossus kowalevskii. Its description in RNAcentral is "dishevelled, dsh homolog". The record is from RNAcentral. Lineage: Eukaryota; Metazoa; Hemichordata; Enteropneusta; Harrimaniidae.
GAAAAAAAGCUUGGCGAAGGAAAAUAGGUGGCUCGAGAACUUGACCGUAUACGCUUCUACACGGACUGAUUGCCUAACUACCGGAUUAUUUCACUGUUUGGACCUCCAUGAUGGAGGAAACCAAAAUAAUAUAUCAUAUUGACGACGAAGAUACUCCGUACUUAGUUAAACUGCCGAUUCCUUCUGACCAAGUCACUUUGGCGGAUUUUAAAAAUGUACUUAAUCGGCCAAAUUACAAGUUUUUCUUUAAAUCUAUGGACGAUGAUUUUGGUGUUGUAAAAGAAGAAAUUGUUGAUGAGGACACCAAACUUCCAUGUUUCAACGGCCGUGUUGUAUCUUGGUUGGUAGCGGCAGAAGGUAGUAGUAUAUCAGAUAGCACAUCACAAUGCACUGAAUCCCAGGCAGAUAUUCCAUUGGAACGGACAGGUGGAAUCGGAGAUUCCAGACCUCCAUCUUUUCAUGCUAAUGCAGCCGGAAGUUCAGAUAAAUUAGAUGACACAACAGAAACAGAAUCGGUUAGCAGUUCAAGAAGAGAUCGACCUCGAAGAAAAGACAGGCAUCAUGAUGAUUUACCUAGAAUCAAUGGACAUAAACAUCGGAGUAGCCACAGUGGCCAUGGUUACGAGAGUUCAUCCACCUUGAUGAGCAGUGAUAUAGAAACUACUAGCUACUUUGACUCAACAGAUGAUGACAGCAGUCGAUUUAGCAGUGCAACGGAACGCAGCGGUUCAUCUAGACUAAUGAGAAGCAGGCAUAAAAGGCGUAAAAGGAAACCACGCAUGCCUAGAGUCGCACGAACUUCAUCUUUUAGCAGCAUAACAGACUCCACAAUGUCACUGAAUAUUAUCACUGUAACACUCAAUUUGGAUAAAAUUAAUUUCUUGGGAAUAAGUAUAGUAGGACAAAGUAACAAAGGAGGGGAUGGAGGAAUUUAUGUCGGUUCUAUUAUGAAGGGGGGUGCUGUUGCAGCAGACGGUCGAAUUGAACCGGGUGACAUGAUUCUACAGGUACAAGACACAAGUUUUGAAAACUUAAAUAAUGACGAAGCCGUGCGGGUGUUGAGAGAAGCCGUGCAAACUCCUGGACCUAUAAAAUUGAUUGUUGCUAAAUGUUGGGAUCCAACUCCAAAAGGCUACUUUACAAUUCCCAGAAGUGAACCUGUCAGACCCAUCGACCCUGGUGCUUGGGUAGCUCACACAAAUGCAAUGAAACAUUUUCCUCACUCAGAAUAUGGACGUCCAGGCCCGAUGAGUCCGUCAAUGACAUCAAUGACGUCAACAAGCUCCUCAAUCACUAGUUCCAUACCAGAAUCAGAACGUAAGUAUCCAGGGAGUAGUGGAUCUAACCAUAGCCAAGAAAAAGAGCGACGUAGUCGUAAAGGCAGCUCAGGUCAAGGAAGUGGUAGUGAAUGCGAGAACUUACUUUCAAGAGGACGAACUUCCAGUCGAGAUGAACUACCACCUCCUCCUCCACCACCUCCUAGACAGCUUGGCAGUGUGCCAGAGGACAUUGCCGGUAGCCGACAAUCAUUUCGUAUGGCUAUGGGAAACCCAUGUGAAUUUUUUGUGGAUGUGAUGUGAAGUGAAUUGCAGUCGUCAUCAUUUCAUGAGUACAUAUGUUGUUCGUAUUGCCAGCAAGGCACCUCUGCACAAAACCAUGUUGAUGUAGUACAUAAAUAAUAUGGCUGGGUGGUACACUUGCAUGUUAGGAAUAAAAUGUAGCAACUUGAGGGGA